GAAAGCACAAAGGGACAAUGACAUUCAUUGUAUUGAAAUAGAGUUUUCAAGCCAUUUUUCAAAUAUACGCACUGGCUGGCUAGGCGGGUGUCCCCAUCCUCCCUCAACGAUCCAUGUGCGUCCCUCCCGAAGCUGCGCGCUCGGUCGAAGAGGACGACCACCCCUGAUAGAGGAGGACCGUUCCUCGGUCAAGGGUAUACGAGUAGCUGCGCUCCCCUGCUAGAACCUCCAAACAAGCUCUCAAAUAUAUGUCCUUCUGUAUUAGCACGUUAACAAGGCCUAGUGACAAGUAAUGGCCACCUCGCUUGUGAAUUUGUGAUGAGCAUGUAUGGU
Molecule: small RNA, 333 nt
Filed under: Octodon degus (degu)
Lineage: Eukaryota; Metazoa; Chordata; Mammalia; Rodentia; Octodontidae
Description: 7SK RNA (ENSODEG00000023119.1)
Rfam family: 7SK RNA
About the family: 7SK was discovered as an abundant small nuclear RNA in the mid-70s but a possible function has only recently been suggested.
Source: Rfam by way of RNAcentral